Molecule: transfer RNA, 73 nt
Filed under: Ailuropoda melanoleuca (giant panda)
Lineage: Eukaryota; Metazoa; Chordata; Mammalia; Carnivora; Ursidae
Rfam family: tRNA
About the family: Transfer RNA (tRNA) molecules are approximately 80 nucleotides in length. Their secondary structure includes four short double-helical elements and three loops (D, anti-codon, and T loops).
Source: Rfam by way of RNAcentral
ACCUGGCUGGCUCGGUCAGUAGAGCAUAAGACUCUUGAUCUCAGGGUGGUGAGUUCAAGCCCCAUGUUGGGCA